Long non-coding RNA from Pyrgilauda ruficollis (rufous-necked snowfinch), 1637 nucleotides. RefSeq lists it as uncharacterized. The transcript has 3 exons. The record is from RefSeq and is a predicted model, not a curated record. Lineage: Eukaryota; Metazoa; Chordata; Aves; Passeriformes; Passeridae.
GAGACAGGGAUUGGGGGCUGCCGGAGUGGGAAGGUGUCUGCUGCCGGCUGGCUGCUAACGGGGGCGGUCUCAGCCGAGACCAAUCCCUACGGAGACAGAAAAGAGCGUUUGCUUCUCCCAGAAAGCGCGUACCCAGGAGCAGCGGUCGGGACUGGAGUCGGGUCCGCGCUGCAGAGGCUGGCGCCAGGCAGAAGAUGGCGGGUGAGGCCGUUGCUCCGAGGAGGUGGUGCCUGCCGCCGCUCCCCGCGGACUUUCCGGCCAAAGCCCUGGCCGGCCGUGCCUGCCGUUCCCAGCACCGCUCCUGGGCGUCCUGGGGCUGGCCUGCCCGAGACACGGUGUUUCUCCGGGCCGGAGCAGCGCGGGGCAGGCGGGAGUCUCCAUUGUGAGAGCCAUCGAACAGUCUGUGCAGAGCCUGGAAUGCCCUCCUGAAGCGGGAUGACUGUUACCAGCAAAGAGCACACUGCUUGCUGAGGGCAUAGACUUCCAUCUGGUCCCAUCACCGACUCUGGACUUCACCGCAGCCCCAGACCUCCAGCUAUCACUCAGCCUUGGAUAUUGCCAGCAUCCACCAACAGUCCUGGACCUGCCCAGCUUCUGUCAUGCAACCCUGGACCCUGGUGCUUCUUUCAGCUCCCUUUAGCUCCCAUCAGGACCCAGUCAGCUCCCAUCACCCAUCUCUGGACCCAGCAAGCACCUAGGCCCCAGCCCUUGGCUCCCAGGAACUCCAAAUGUCCCAGCAUCCUUAGCACCAGAAACGUCACACAUGCAGUGUUCUGAAUCGUGCCUCAGUCUUCAUGAGCGGAAUGAUGCCCUGCUGGGGUCAGGAUUUUCACCUGCUGGACCCCGGCUAGAUGUUUUUCUUCACCAGAUAGAAGGAGGGCAACUCGAGUCCUGGACAAUUUCAACUGAUUUAUUGCAGGGUCCAAAAGGGAUAGAAAAACACAGAGGGUAGGCUGAGGGACAGACGGUGAGUCGGAGGGGCAGCAGGGACGGGUAGCAACCAGCAGAAGGACACCAGGGCAAGUGCCCUGUCUUUAGGGGAAGUUACAGUUUUGUGCACAACUACAUGUUGAGGGGGAUGGGAGGGGAAAAGUUUUAAAGUUUUCACAGGAGUAACCAUUGAAAGAUACAAAGGGUACAGGAUGAGUGGGAUGUGAAAGGGAGUACAGCAUUCGAGUACUGGGAGAGGAAUGAAUUUUCCCUGACUUAGACAAUGAUACUUUCCCAGGGCAUUCCUGAGGUAGCUUUCACGCCCCUACUUCACAGUCCAUGGAGUGGCAUCUAAUGCACCCCACACUGCAUGCAUUGAGGGAGAAACCUCAGACACACCUGCUACUCAACCUGGGCACACCCCCAGUCCAGCACUCCUGCCACCCACUGAGUCCUGUACUCCCCCUGCGAGCUCCACAAUUCCCCAUGCCCUUCCCUGUCUGCUCCUUAUGAACUUUAAUCCUUCCCCAUGGCCCUUAAACAGAUUUGGGGUGACAGCUGCUGGAGGAGUGUGCUGGGGGGAUACCCCACACUUGGCCUUGUGGCUGAGCUCCCAUCAGUUGAUGAUGGAUCGUUACGGAGUCACACUCCUGAAAAUGAAGUUAAACAAGGAAAUGGCUUUGAUGGCGUCAGAGGCGUGGAGGAUG